This 305-nucleotide ribosomal RNA is filed under the name uncultured bacterium. RNAcentral's name for it is "bacterial SSU rRNA". It matches the Rfam family "Bacterial small subunit ribosomal RNA", at positions 334 to 656 of the family's 1533-position model. The record is from RNAcentral.
UUUUCCUACGGGGCGCAGCAGUGGGGAAUAUUGCGCAAUGGGGGGAACCCUGAUGCAGCGACGCCGCGUGAGCGAAGAAGUAUUUCGGUAUGUAAAGCUCUAUCAGCAGGGAAGAAAAUGACGGUACCUGACUAAGAAGCACCGGCUAAAUACGUGCCAGCAGCCGCGGUAAUACGUAUGGUGCAAGCGUUAUCCGGAUUUACUGGGUGUAAAGGGAGCGUAGACGGCUGUGCAAGUCUGAAGUGAAAGGCCGGGGCCCAACCCCGGGAGUGCUUUGGAAACUGUGCGGCUAGAGUGUCGGAGAG